This 1245-nucleotide long non-coding RNA is filed under the name Triticum aestivum (bread wheat). RNAcentral describes it as "long non-coding RNA (TAES_LNC011637)". Lineage: Eukaryota; Viridiplantae; Streptophyta; Magnoliopsida; Poales; Poaceae. The record is from RNAcentral.
GCCUGAAUUUGUUGUAAGUUUCUUUCUCAUAGAUUUUUAUUCAAUAUAUUUCUUGUUGAUCCUCACACAUGCGGUUAACAGAAAAAUAAAGUUCAAAAACAUCAUCGGGGCAGGUUCAUGGAUCCUCACACUCUUGCUCAUGGUUCGGUUUGUGUGUGUUACUCCACAAUAUAUAAUUUUCUGUUUAAUUCUUAUUUUGUUUCAGUUCAAUAUAUAAUUUUAGUUAAGUUCAAUAUAUAAUUUUAGUUUAGUUCAAUAUCUUGAGUAUCACCUUUUUCUGCCAUGAACUCAUGCUAUAAUAUGGGCAGCUAAGUUCACUCUGAAUAUGUUGAUACUAAACCAGAAGUUUGCUCUGAACUCUCAUGUUUGUCUUAACAAUUGACAGGUCUGAAUAUGUUGCCGCUGCCAUGCUGAUUUCCUGUUGCGACCUUGUUGAUUCCCCGCCUUCGAACUGCUCCCUCAAUCCCCUGUGUGGACCACCGCCGACUGUGGGAUGCACCUUCCAUGCGCAACCAUGUGACCAUGUAGAUGCACGUCUUCAUUGAGUCGCUCACAGCGCAUAUGUGUGUGUUGUGUUCGUGCGUGCAUGGUCGCGGCCAUGCUUGGCGUUUUGGUGUUGUCUGUGUGUGGUCUUGCGGGCGUCUCACCUCAAACGCAUCCCAGGACGAUGCACGAGUUGAUGAGGAAACACCCAAGCCUGUGGCCUCUCGACCACAACUUCGUCUCAUGGAAGCUGUUGGAUGUGGAGAGCCAGUAUGAAUUCAAGUCUAAGUGGCUCAUCGAGGAGAAAAAGAAGAGGAACUCGAGUGGUUUCUCUGUGGAGAAGGGCAGAAGACAUUUUGCUCUGAACAUACUUGUUGAUAUGCCCAUGAAAACGGGUACAUUUUUCUACAGAUUUUUGUGUUGCUAACGAGGGCUACACAACUUGUAUUUACAAGUUGAACUUAAGCGUAUCCCCUAUAAAGUUUGUGGAUGUUGGAUGUUCUUUUGACAUUGAACUGUUAUGUGCUUGCAAAAUCUGAAGUGUUGAUCCAUCAGCAUUCGUAGCUUCGCACCUCAUUCUUGUAUGUUAUCUGUUUCAAGUGCUCAAUGAAGUUUAUGUUCUGAGGUCAUGUACACAUACCUAGGCAUUCAUGUAUUACUAACCAGUAAGUACACCUGUUGCUUCUCUCGCUCGUUUGUGCUGGUGGUGAAUAGUUCAAAUUCUUGGCAAAUUUUAAAACGUUCAAACUGAUAAACGUGGUA